Long non-coding RNA from Lolium perenne, 1016 nucleotides. RefSeq lists it as uncharacterized. NCBI's taxonomy places the organism in Eukaryota, Viridiplantae, Streptophyta, Magnoliopsida, Poales, Poaceae. The record is from RefSeq and is a predicted model, not a curated record.
UUCCCGUUAAUUCUGUGACUGUUUCUUCUCGAGUGCAAUACGAAAUUUACUCAUAUUUAGAUGGGCGUUCCAUUCAGCCAAUUAGUUUCCCACUUUAUUGCCUUAAUCUUCCAAACCGUCCAGGUGCACCGAAUGCCACCGGCCGGCAUUGCCAUCCCGAUCUCCCUCCUCAGGCCAUAGAAUUGCGAAAUGAGAUGUCCUCCGUGUGCCCCUUGUCCUCCUCCACCACUUUGCUUCAGAAAGUUUGUACUGAUAUGCUCUGUACAGCCCACACCGACCGUGCCAUCUACAGCCUCAAAUUCGAGUUCAUCGCUAUAUCUUGCCGUCUAGAGUGAUCACCACGAAGCUUCCUUGCACCAGAAGAUGUUUCUCAUCAAGGCCUACCUCCAGGACAUGGUCAGACGUGUUUUUGUCGCAGUUGGCCGCGACAUCAACGGAGUUCAUCAGAGCGGUACGUCGCGUGCGUUCAUCUUUUGCACCAUUCCUUUUUCUAGUGUGAUGUCCUAAUCAUCGCCUAACUCCAAGACAUGGUGCUGCAUCGUUUUGUCGCUGGGGUUCGCGCCGCCGAUUUGAGGAUUGACUCCGACGAACCCUCCGUGUGUCGCGGUGCAGCAACCUCCGCGAAGAUGUCCGAUGCCGGUCACCACUCUGGCCGCGUGCGUUGCCAUUCCAGGAAAGGGGCAAGGUCGGCAAACACGCCAUUGUUUUCAACAUCUACUGCCGCACAUGGUUGUCCACUUCACCGAGCCGAGGAACGACCGGAGGAGCACCAGCAUCCGCGCUCGCAACAGCGCCGUCGUCAUCUUGGAACAGCACUGCCACCACCCGUUCGUUUGAAGAGCGACGUGUUUUGUUGAAAGAAAAGAGAACACUCUUCGACUACAAAAAGGCAAGUGAUACAUACCAAAAGUCCCAGUUUUAAUUCUUGCACUGUAGUGUUUUUAUAGUAGACAUGUCUAGGGUUUAUGCUUUAUGCCUGGUAAUAAAUCCUAGUAGUUUAGUUACACCACUCCUAG